UGGCGGCGUGCUUAACACAUGCAAGUCGAACGAUGAUGCCCAGCUUGCUGGGUGGAUUAGUGGCGAACGGGUGAGUAACACGUGAGUAACCUGCCCCUGACUCUGGGAUAAGCGUUGGAAACGACGUCUAAUACUGGAUAUGAUCACUGGCCGCAUGGUCUGGUGGUGGAAAGAUUUUUUGGUUGGGGAUGGACUCGCGGCCUAUCAGCUUGUUGGUGAGGUAAUGGCUCACCAAGGCGACGACGGGUAGCCGGCCUGAGAGGGUGACCGGCCACACUGGGACUGAGACACGGCCCAGACUCCUACGGGAGGCAGCAGUGGGGAAUAUUGCACAAUGGGCGAAAGCCUGAUGCAGCAACGCCGCGUGAGGGAUGACGGCCUUCGGGUUGUAAACCUCUUUUAGUAGGGAAGAAGCGAAAGUGACGGUACCUGCAGAAAAAGCACCGGCUAACUACGUGCCAGCAGCCGCGGUAAUACGUAGGGUGCAAGCGUUGUCCGGAAUUAUUGGGCGUAAAGAGCUCGUAGGCGGUUUGUCGCGUCUGCUGUGAAAUCCCGAGGCUCAACCUCGGGCUUGCAGUGGGUACGGGCAGACUAGAGUGCGGUAGGGGAGAUUGGAAUUCCUGGUGUAGCGGUGGAAUGCGCAGAUAUCAGGAGGAACACCGAUGGCGAAGGCAGAUCUCUGGGCCGUAACUGACGCUGAGGAGCGAAAGCAUGGGGAGCGAACAGGAUUAGAUACCCUGGUAGUCCAUGCCGUAAACGUUGGGCGCUAGAUGUAGGGACCUUUCCACGGUUUCUGUGUCGUAGCUAACGCAUUAAGCGCCCCGCCUGGGGAGUACGGCCGCAAGGCUAAAACUCAAAGGAAUUGACGGGGGCCCGCACAAGCGGCGGAGCAUGCGGAUUAAUUCGAUGCAACGCGAAGAACCUUACCAAGGCUUGACAUACACCGGAAACGGCCAGAGAUGGUCGCCCCCUUGUGGUCGGUGUACAGGUGGUGCAUGGUUGUCGUCAGCUCGUGUCGUGAGAUGUUGGGUUAAGUCCCGCAACGAGCGCAACCCUCGUUCUAUGUUGCCAGCGGGUUAUGCCGGGGACUCAUAGGAGACUGCCGGGGUCAACUCGGAGGAAGGUGGGGAUGACGUCAAAUCAUCAUGCCCCUUAUGUCUUGGGCUUCACGCAUGCUACAAUGGCCGGUACAAAGGGCUGCGAUACCGUAAGGUGGAGCGAAUCCCAAAAAGCCGGUCUCAGUUCGGAUUGAGGUCUGCAACUCGACCUCAUGAAGUCGGAGUCGCUAGUAAUCGCAGAUCAGCAACGCUGCGGUGAAUACGUUCCCGGGCCUUGUACACACCGCCCGUCAAGUCAUGAAAGUCGGUAACACCCGAAGCCGGUGGCCUAACCCUUGUGGAAGGAGCCGUCGAAGGUGGAUUCGGU
This 1425-nucleotide ribosomal RNA is filed under the name Curtobacterium sp. X3. RNAcentral's name for it is "16S ribosomal RNA". It matches the Rfam family "Bacterial small subunit ribosomal RNA". The record is from RNAcentral. Lineage: Bacteria; Bacillati; Actinomycetota; Actinomycetes; Micrococcales; Microbacteriaceae.